GUUUUUUUGUUUGUUAUGGUUGCACCCGAUUAAAGAGCCGAACGGCUAACAGGGCUAUACCAAAAUAAAUAAACUGAAACUGAAAACUGGAUCUCCACGUCUCGCACACGGGAAGCUUCAGUGGCGAAUGGCGGCCGUUGCCAUGGGCGUGUCACGUGGGCGCGCGCGCCGUUGCGAGGCAACCGCGAGACGCCGGAAGCCGAGUGGCGGCCACUUUCUCCCUCGACACCGCGGUCUGCUUCUUCAUUCACGCUUCUUUUGUUUACUACAUUAAUUCUCCACAACGACGCAGAUAAUUGUUUAGAGUUAUAAUAUUGCCGACAAGACUCCGCGCCUGUGUUUGGCUAUAACUGUGAUGGAGCGCUCGCUAUCCGAUGACGUCCGGCAAAUGUACAAGCUGAAGCAAGCGGCAGUGGAGUUCUACCGUGCCCACGGGGUCCCACAGAACUUGGAAGAGGCCCUCAAUAGCCUCUUUCACCAGCAGCCUGAAGACGUCUAUGGGCAGCUGGUGAACCACUUCUCUGUGCUGUGCAAGCCUGCGGUAGUGAAGCGGAUAGAGGCCUGGCAGGCACUGGACACUGUGGGCUGUCCCGCCGUUGCAGUGCAGCUCAUCUGCACCACGAGGAACAUGGAGCAGCGCGUGUGCUCGCUGGUGAUGGCCAGUGAAGGUGAACCACCAGACACCAUGGCACUGGGGCUGAAGGAUCAGGAGUACAGCAAGAAACAAGAAUCUUCCCAGUUGGCCGUUCAGUGGAUCAACCACUCUCUGUCUGGUUUGCUUAUGGGUCAGCAGCCAUACAACCAGUCAGAGCUUGACUGCUUGCUGAGGGAGUUCCUAAAGGAGAAACUGUCUGAAGUGCAUCAACAACAGGAGCAGGAGGAAGUGACAAGAACAGAGUUCUCGGAGCCCGUGGUGCAACCACUUGCUGUGACAGUGAACAGUGACAAAAAACCCAUCAAGGGCAAGAAGAGCGCUGCUCUGGAAAAGCCACUCUUUCACAAAGAGAUGCGAGCCCCACUACUUCCCGGAAGUGUGGCCAUCAGUGCGACAUCUAUGGCCAUCGCCAAGGCCGCAGCCCGACUUAAAAGCUGCCCACUUUACAAGCACAUUGCUUCCCUCUCCCACACAGAGGUACAACAAAAAUUGAAAAUUCCAGUCACUAUGGUAACGGUGCUGUGCUGUGGAAAAGCAUCACCAGGAAAGCUAAAUCUUCUGAAAGAAGUGAUGGUUCUGCCAAGACCAGGACUCACAGCUUCACAGGGUCUCAACAUUAUUUCUGAAAUCCAGCAUCAGAUCAUGAAACACGCAGAAGUGGUUCCCAAAACAGGGACGAUGCACGUGGUCGGUGCUGUGGGGGCCCCGCUGAUUGGAUGCGACAAACUGGAGCGGCCUCUGGAGAUCAUUGAGGAGGUGGCAAGGAGCCUGGGUCUCACGGCAGGCGUCGACUUCCACUUGGCCCUCAACUGUGCCGCUCACGAAGUCAUGGACUAUGAGAAGGGCCGCUAUGAGGUUGCCAGUGGGUCAUUCAAAGCCACAACCGACAUGGUGGAGCUGUACGUACAGCUGCUGGGCCAGCACCCAGCUGUCGUAGCGCUCAUCGACCCCCUGUGCCCUGAGGACCAUGAGCAGUGGCGUAGGCUCAGCUCAGCUGUUGGUGAAAAGUGUUUCAUUUUCAAUGAAAAUUUCUGUCGCCUGGCUGAACUGGAAAAUUUGGAACACAUAACAGGAACACUGAAGGCCACUGGUGUGAUUAUCAAACACACCAACCAAGUGACCGUUUCUGACUUGCUGCAGGCUUCGAGAUACUUGCAAGGCAAAGGGUUGUGUGUUGCUUUUGGUGCGUGUUCUGGAGAUACACCAGAUGGUAGUUUGGUGGACAUGGUAAGAUUGUGGAGGAAUGUUAACAGAAAUAAGGAUUCCAAGGACUUAAAAUUGGUUCAGUGUUUGUGUGUUUUACAUCGGGUUCUUACUACAGAGGGUUUUAUCACUACUCCCUGCGUUAUGAGAGGUGCAUUUCUUAAAAAAAUUAACUCUUGUCAAUGCUGUUGUCUAUCCCACUUAUGUAAUGCAACGAUUUUUUUCCAACAUCAGGAUUACUCUUUCUGUAGCACUCAACAUUGUUUUCCCUUUGAAAAUUACUUGGAUGCAGAGAAUAUUCCCUCGCUGUGUGCAUUUGUUGGCAUUUCCCACUUCUGCCAGCUGAUCUUGCAAUGAAUCACAUCUUCAAUGCUUUGUUGUCAUACUUUUCCACUUGGCCUGAAUCCUCCAUGACCCUUUCCUGAUAGCAAUCGUAUGUAUUGCUUAUUACGUGUUUUUUUUAAAUCAGGCACAGUGGGAUCAGCAGUAAAGUAUGUAUGUAUAUUGAACUUCUUUCACACCAUAUGUAGCCACCCGUGCUAACUGGAGGUGCGGGGCAAAGAUUACAAACUAAACACAAAAAGCAGUUCUCAAGAAUUUACUUUUCAAUCUAGCUUUAAAAGUGCAUAGCUCCAGUGGCUUCCUCAUAUCGGAAGGAAGAGUGUUCCAGACGGCCGCAGAAGCGCAUCUGAACGUGCGCAACGCGGUGACCGUCUUUCUUUGAUGGCCAGCCAGAAGCUGCUUGACCCACUCUCUCUUAGCUGAGCCUAAGAGAGAGUGGGUCAAGUGGGAGCUGGAGAAUGAUUACCUGAGUUAGAGGUACCGAGUGACGUUUGAUGCGUAUCGGCGUUUGUUGUACGAAGGCCCUUGGCAUGGGGGCCUCUUUCUUGAUCCUUGGAGGUGUUCUCCGUGGCGAGAGGGUGGCGCGCUACAAUCACCUGGUGAAGAUUGAGUGGGAGCUGCUGAAAGGAGACAUGCUUGAAAUGAGUCAACCGUACACCUU
Petromyzon marinus (sea lamprey) is the source of this 2861-nucleotide non-coding RNA. NCBI's taxonomy places the organism in Eukaryota, Metazoa, Chordata, Hyperoartia, Petromyzontiformes, Petromyzontidae. The record is from RefSeq and is a predicted model, not a curated record.